AUUGAACGCUGGCGGCAGGCUUAACACAUGCAAGUCGAACGGUAACAUGAAGAAGCUUGCUUCUUUGAUGACGAGUGGCGGACGGGUGAGUAAUGCUUGGGAAUCUAGCUUAUGGAGGGGGAUAACUACGGGAAACUGUAGCUAAUACCGCGUAGUAUCGAGAGAUGAAAGUGUGGGACCUUCGGGCCACAUGCCAUAGGAUGAGCCCAAGUGGGAUUAGGUAGUUGGUGAGGUAAAGGCUCACCAAGCCGACGAUCUCUAGCUGGUCUGAGAGGAUGACCAGCCACACUGGGACUGAGACACGGCCCAGACUCCUACGGGAGGCAGCAGUGGGGAAUAUUGCGCAAUGGGGGCAACCCUGACGCAGCCAUGCCGCGUGAAUGAAGAAGGCCUUCGGGUUGUAAAGUUCUUUCGGUAGCGAGGAAGGCAUUUAGUUUAAUAGACUAGGUGAUUGAC
This 456-nucleotide ribosomal RNA is filed under the name Terrahaemophilus aromaticivorans. RNAcentral describes it as "bacterial SSU rRNA". It matches the Rfam family "Bacterial small subunit ribosomal RNA", at positions 30 to 473 of the family's 1533-position model. Lineage: Bacteria; Pseudomonadati; Pseudomonadota; Gammaproteobacteria; Pasteurellales; Pasteurellaceae. The record is from RNAcentral.